Molecule: long non-coding RNA, 370 nt
Filed under: Medicago truncatula (barrel medic)
Lineage: Eukaryota; Viridiplantae; Streptophyta; Magnoliopsida; Fabales; Fabaceae
Description: long non-coding RNA (MTRU_LNC000499)
Source: RNAcentral
UUAGAAAAAAAUUAAAAAAAAUAAGGGUUCCGGCACGGUGGCGCCGCCGCCGGAACCCCCUUACCUCCAUCGGAGAAGAUGAAGAAAAUAGGAGAGAGAAGAGAGAAAACGUGUGAGGAGAGAGAAGGAAAGCUGGAAAUGAAUGAAUUCUGUGAACUACAGCCUAUAUAUAGGCCUCUUUGAUCCCAUACGCGUGGGUGUACGGCCUUGCCAUGCAUCCACGCACCCUGGUCCUUUGAUCCUUUGAUCCUGUGGUCUAUGUUGCUCCUCUGCAUGAUUGAACCAAAGCUGUCUGAUCUUAAUCAGACGGCUAAUGUUUAACCUUAUGACCCACUCCAGUUACCCGUAAACCGACCCGGUUCGCUCUGUU